Molecule: long non-coding RNA, 213 nt
Organism: Mercenaria mercenaria
Lineage: Eukaryota; Metazoa; Mollusca; Bivalvia; Venerida; Veneridae
Exons: 3
Source: RefSeq, a predicted model, not a curated record
CAGAUGACCAUUCCAGAGUGAAACUGCACGGACAACCAGAUUUCUUCAUAAAUGCAUGCUAUAUUGACGGAUAUAAAAGAAGUAAAGCAUACAUAGCAUCUCUAGGUCCGACCGCCAAAACUACAAGCGACUUUUCAACAUUUUGGAAGAUGAUUUGGUAUGAAAGAGCUGAUAUUAUUGUCAUGCUAACAAACCUUCGUGAACCAUCGGUAA